RNAcentral lists this ribosomal RNA (735 nucleotides) under uncultured Fusobacterium sp. RNAcentral's name for it is "bacterial SSU rRNA". It matches the Rfam family "Bacterial small subunit ribosomal RNA", at positions 28 to 776 of the family's 1533-position model. The record is from RNAcentral. Lineage: Bacteria; Fusobacteriati; Fusobacteriota; Fusobacteriia; Fusobacteriales; Fusobacteriaceae.
GAUGAACGCUGACAGAAUGCUUAACACAUGCAAGUCUACUUGAAUUUGGGUUUUUAACUUAGAUUUGGGUGGCGGACGGGUGAGUAACGCGUAAAGAACUUGCCUCACAGCUAGGGACAACAUUUAGAAAUGAAUGCUAAUACCUAAUAUUAUGAUAAUAGGGCAUCCUAUAAUUAUGAAAGCUAUAUGCGCUGUGAGAGAGCUUUGCGUCCCAUUAGCUAGUUGGAGAGGUAACGGCUCACCAAGGCGAUGAUGGGUAGCCGGCCUGAGAGGGUGAUCGGCCACAAGGGGACUGAGACACGGCCCUUACUCCUACGGGAGGCAGCAGUGGGGAAUAUUGGACAAUGGACCGAGAGUCUGAUCCAGCAAUUCUGUGUGCACGAUGAAGUUUUUCGGAAUGUAAAGUGCUUUCAGUUGGGAAGAAAGAAAUGACGGUACCAACAGAAGAAGUGACGGCUAAAUACGUGCCAGCAGCCGCGGUAAUACGUAUGUCACGAGCGUUAUCCGGAUUUAUUGGGCGUAAAGCGCGUCUAGGUGGUUAUAUAAGUCUGAUGUGAAAAUGCAGGGCUCAACUCUGUAUUGCGUUGGAAACUGUAUAGCUAGAGUACUGGAGAGGUAAGCGGAACUACAAGUGUAGAGGUGAAAUUCGUAGAUAUUUGUAGGAAUGCCGAUGGGGAAGCCAGCUUACUGGACAGAUACUGACGCUGAAGCGCGAAAGCGUGGGUAGCAAACAGG